GAAAGCGAGGCGCCGUGCUGCAGGAAGAUGGCGGCGCAGCGUCGCUUGUGCUAUGUUGACCUGCGGGAGGAUGGCUGUUGUGAGGGCACUAAGACACUUGACGAACCGUCUCUUACGUCUUCCAUGGAGUGGGACACCCAGGUAGUGAAGGGGUCCUCGCCACUUGGCCCCUCAAGGCUGGAGACGGAAGAGCCACCAUCUGGCCCACAGCUGCCGUCGUGGCUGCAGCCCGAGAGGUGUGCCGUGUUCCAGUGCGCGCAGUGCCACGCCGUGCUCGCUGACUCGGUGCACCUCGCCUGGGACCUGUCGCAGCCCCUCGGGGCCGUGGUCUUCUCCAGAGUCACAAAUAACGUGGUUUUGGAAGCUCCCUUCCUGGUUGGCAUUGAAGGUUCACUCAAAGGCAGCAUUUACAACCUUUUAUUCUGUAGUUCAUGUGGGAUUCCCAUUGGUUUCCAUCUGUAUUCUACCCAUGCUGCCCUGGCUGUCUUGAGAGGUCACUUCUGCCUCUCCAGUGAUAAAAUGGUGUGCUAUCUCUUAAAAACAAAAGCCAUAGUAAAGGCAUCUGAGAUGGAUAUUCACAACAUGCCUCUACCAGAAAAGGUUGCAGAGCUGAAAGAGAAGAUAAUGUUAACGCAUACUCAAUUAAAUUCACUGAUGGAGAUUCUAAAGGAAGCGACUCCUGACCAGUCCAAGCCAGAAAACUGACCCCAAACCAAAGCUUGAGUAUCAGAGUCAGGCCUUGACGCUGUCUUCAACAACAGAUGGCUGCCUGUAUCCUUGGACUAUACCAGGAGCCACAACUUGAGUGUCAGGAAACCUGGGUCCUUCAUCUUUUCAUUUUGACAUCAGGAGCCUACCUCAGCACAGGUCUGUGGAUAGGUUCCUUUUCUCGUCUCCAUAAUUUACUGCAUUAUCUGAAAUUACGCAUUCCAAGUAACAACACACAGUGAAAUCUCAGUGCAUUCUCAGUCCAUGCUGCUUUAUUGCCAAAAUAGAUAUAUAUAUAUAUAUAUACACACAUAUACACAUACACACACAGGUGCAGAGUUACCAACUCUUAAAGCAGUUCCAUUUUACAUCAAAGAAUAAAAUCUCUUCUAAAAUCCCUUCUAAAGAUGCAUAGAUUAAAAAGCAAGCUGCCUUUUGUAAUACUUUAAACAUUCAAUCAAAGUGUUAACAUCGAGUACACCAAUCGUGCAUUGGAGAAGAUGCAGAACAGCAACUAAAAACAGUGAGCAACAACUGUAAUUGACAGUACAUAAAACUAUGUGAAGGGUACUAUAUAAUAUGAAUCUUUUUAAUUACAAGUGAUGGGUGAUUUUAAGGUAAGCACCAAGACUGUUUUGUUGUUUAAGGACUGAUGAUGCUGUAUUGCCAGAAUUCCUUUCUUAUCCCUGGGAGAAAAGUAUAUUUUAAUCAGUGGCAUAACAUACCAUCACCACAGGAGACAAUCUUUUGAAAAAUGCCAGUAACCUUAAAAUAAUCUGUCUAUUCUGACUUAGGAGUAUGGGUUUCUGGAGAAAUUGUGAUGUCUGGUUUUCUAAUAAUUUUUGAUAUGCCUUAGUGGAAAAAUAGGAACAGUUUAGAGAAACUCUGUCCUUAAAUCUUUAUUGGUUUCAUUGGCAGAUAUAUUGUUAAUAAGUGGCAGAGAAAAUUUACAUAUGGGAUGACAUCUCACUUCCUGUAUUUGAGUGAAGACCAAACACUGCAAUGACUGUGUUAAUUCAAUUGUGAACUACUAGAAAGUUACCAUUACACUUAAACAUUCCCAAAGCUAUCUGGAGUGAAAUCCCACAGCAAAGAAAAUGAGGUUAAAACAAUUUGGAAAAAUUAUUUUUCAACCUGGAAGGGGCCUAGUGAAAAAUCAUUUAGUCUAAUCCGUCUUCUAUUUAGGCCUCUUUCAGAUAUAAUGAAUUCCAUUCGUAAAUUAUUAUUGUCAAAAUUACUUGUAGUUAUAAGGGUUAUUCCAAAGGCAGGAAUCUUCUCAAAAAUUUUAAUAAAUUCACCACAAUAAACAUCUAUUAUCUUCAUCAAUCAAGAAAAUAAAUGGCAAGGUUUUUUCUUUUUUUCAUAAUGGGAAAACUUGCACCUGUUUACCGGGAAUCAAAAGCUUUAGGCAAAAAGUUUUUAGGCAAAAAACUAUGCAGUCUGACCAAAUCAUCAAGAAUAAAACUCUGGCUAUUAAAAAAAAUUAACAAAAAAAUUAAUGUAACACAGUAACAAAAGAGAAACCAAACCACAGCUGUGUCAACAUUUUCAUGAUUAUUUCCACAAAACAUAGCGGUCUCCUUUGCUGCAAGGAUCCUUUAUAGCUCGUCAAUACCAGUACCACCCAGAAGAGUUGCCUAGUUAUCUGAAAAUCCUGGAACAUAGGAAGUAUGUGCAUAUUGCUCCUAUUUACUUCUAGGAUACUACCCUGUUCCGAAAAUAACACCUAGCCGGACAAUCAGCUCUAAUGUGUCUUUUGGAGCAAAAAUUAAUAUAAAACCCAGUCUUAUUUUACUAUACAAGACCGGGUCUUAUAUUAAUUUUUGUUCCAAAAGACACAUUAGAGCUGAUUGUCUGACUAGGGCUUAUUUUCGGGGAAACAAGGUAAUUUUAAGAGAUGCAAACUUAAGCCACAUAAACUUUAUCAAGACAAACCCCAUACCUAACUGUUUUACGUACUUCACACUGGUAUUCCCUACUUUUCCUACCCUUUCUGAAACUCUGCACCUUUCUGAUUAGUAUAGCCAUAGCAGCUUAUUUAUUUAUUCAACAUGCUUAGUUUGUGCCUUUUGUAUUGUUGUUAAACAUGCUUGGGGACAAAUGGAGCCAGGCAAGAGGUUAGAGGGUGAGCACUGUUAUGCUCUAUUCCUGACAGUUUGAAUGUCUUGUGGUUCCCCGUUUAUCUUCUAGCUCCCAUUUUCAAUGGAAGUAAGGUAACCUUUACUUAGAAAAUGAAAACUAAUAAUCCAAACAAUAAAGUCAAGCUAUUGGUUUAAGUCUCUAUCCCGUCAUUAUUAGUAAGUGCAUAUAUGUAAUUACUAGUAAACACAUAACACUGGACAUUUUCAGUCAUGCAUUAGAAUAUUGGUACUCUAAAAUCAAGUCAUGGGUCUGCCACUAUUGACUGCACUUUCAUCCAGACCCAGUUUUAAACAUGCAGAGUUUAAAUCCCUUGAUUCAGAGGAAGGAUACAUGCAAAGUUUGAACCAAAAAUGUGGCUUAAUAAAGUGAUUGCUUAGAAAUGCAGGCAGAUGCUCUACAUCUAUCACAAUGCUGCUUCAGAACAGUGGUACAAAAGUUACAGAAAAAAGGUUAAAAUUAGGACCACUAUUCAGUUAUAAAAGGCUGGUCCGUUAGGGUAGAGAAUGAUGUAAAAACUUGGAAAAGAAUUGGAGCAGUAAGUUUUCUUGCCCAUUUACUGACUGCUACAGCAUAGAGCGUAGGUAGGGAUGGUAAAGACGCUUAGGCAGAAUGGUUUCUUUUCUGAUUCACAUUAAUGAGCAUUGCCUGUACAGCCCCUGGGAAAAGGAGUUUAUGAACAGCAGAGCUAAUACAAUGUAAACUCAAAAUCAAUGCCCUGAAAUUUAGCAUAGCCCUCUGCUUUUGAACUGUUGGCCAACGGUUCCUUCCAAAUAUGGUAUAAUUAAUAGCCAAGCAAUGUUCUAAAUGAACUAGAAGUAAUUUGCUUGCAUCAGCAGCACCAUGAGAAUGUAAACUCCUGGAGGCCAAGGGUCUCUUCAUAUUUUGCAUAUUACAGGUACACAAAGAGUAAACAUGAGACCACAACAACAAUGAAAAGUAACUGCAUACUUUGAGAUUACAAAAACUUACAGCACAUUUUAGCAUUUAGAACUAUUAAGGUGGCUGUGAAGGGUAAUCUUUAAUUGUUCUAAGUAACUAAGCUGUUGGCAUUACAGUAAUAUGCAGUUAUGUCCUCAUGAUCAUGCAGAUGUCUCAAUAUUGCUUGGUUAUUCCAGUGUCUCUAACACCAACUGAUGGUGUAGGAUAUUUAAAGAGGAGCUAUAAUCAAUUUAAUACAGCCUUUCCCCUAUCCUUUGGAGUUGCCAAAGAAGAAUUAAAUACUCAAUAGGGACUAUUUUCUUAGAUCUAUUCCACUUUUAGUCCCACCCCCAACCCCUGCAGGACAAGGGAACAUAAACCCAAACUUUUCAAGGAUCUUCAAGGUGCUAAAUGGCCAAGAUGGCAUGAAGUCACCCUCAUUCCAUUAUAUCCUGAUGUGAGUUAUACGAUUCCUCAGGUCAAGAAACUAGUUUGCUCGGUUCUUGUUACAAUAAGCAGUCACAGGCCAUAGGCCUAGCACAUCUACAUUAGACAAGGUUUAAAAAACCAACACACACUCUUUGGCUCUUCAAUCCUUUUGUUUUACACCUUUAAAUGCUAACUCCCCUAAACUAACCAUAGGCAUGAGGAAAGGCCAGCUAUCCAAGUUAUCUGUUUGGUUUUUUUCAACCCUAAAUACACUACAAACUUUUCCUUUUUAAAAAUGCACCCAGAAAACUAAUGGAAAAAGAUAAGGUGACAAAGCAAAAAGUAUGCUAUUAGCCUGGUGCUAAAAGCAGAAUCCCUACAGGAUGGCUUUUGUGGGACUGCCUUAGUAGUACAUUUGUUUCCAGGUUAAGCACUAGAAGUUUAAUUCAAUGGCUGUUAACACUCUGUUCUAGGAAACAAAUAGGAUCUUUAACCUUUAACUUACACAAAAGUUGCUAUUUUUCACACACUGACUUAUUCAGAUACAUUCAUAGUUUUAAAAGUACCUUUUAUAUGCUCUUUAUCUAGAACAUCUUUUUGUGCAACUGUUAAUCACAGAGCCUCACAAACUCAAGUAGCAAUACUUCCUCUACAACCUUGCAACUUCUCUACAUGCAAAACUGUUAUUGCUACUAAAAUUCUACCUCUUGAAAAUUAUUCAUUUAAUGGCUUUUUUUUUUUUUUUGCAACAGGAAAUAUCCUUUCCUAUAUACUGUGCUAUUUUGCAUUCAUUACCUUUUCAGAGGUAUUUUUUUAAAAAAAUGUUUAAAUGCUUUUCAGAAAUGGAUUCUUGCAGGCGCUAAACUACUUGAGCCAAUACAACUACUAAAAAUACACUAUGAGAAUGUAACCCUGGGGCCCUGGAGAUCUGCUGCCAAAAAGUUUGUCUAAGCUUGCUUCUACACAGGAGACACACAUUAAAAUAGUUUUACAUUUCCUAUCAUGCUAACUGUAGAACCUGUGCCAGUAAAUCCUGGACUCUCCUAAUACCAAGAUUUAAAAAUCACCUCAAAAAACUGCCAUUUCCAAGCUCUAAAGGCAGCUUUUAGAGGUAGGAAUUUCUUUUCUACAGAAAGCUGUCUUAUGUUUUCAGAACAAAACUUUUAUGUCUACAAGGAAAGUAGAAAAAAGUGAAAGCUGUCUGAGGCGGCUUACUAUAACCAAGCAAGAGUUACUACAGGGCAAUCUAGGUAGGCUCCAUCAGUUACAUUCCCAACCCUCAUGAAAAGGUCUGGAAUCCCAUCGAUGCAUAAUUCAGCAGAUUUGGAAAUAGGAAAAGCCUGUGACAAAUUAAUCUAGGACACUGAACUACUGACCAGUGUUCUUCUGUUAGCAUGCUGCAAACAGGAAAUGUAAAUGGUCUGCAGAUUAGAAAAACACUCAAGCAAUUAACACAGCAUCUCAGUUAAGACAGUCAAAAUAUACUUGCUUGAUGCAAAAGGAGUAGGAAACUAAUAAACCUAGAAGGACAUACAAUGUGAAAACAGGGAAAGAACAAUUUCACCUCAAACGGAGAACAAAGCAGAAUCGUAAAAUGGGGCCUCAUUUUAAUUUAAGGUUUCAUAAGACACAAAGGCAGCUGGUUUCCAGCUACCUCAUGGAAAGCGUAAGUAUCCUCAAACACAGUAUUUCACAUUAUGACCCCACAUUUCUGUUCAUAAAUGAGUCUUUUUGGCCUAAUCUCCUUUCCCCAGGGAGUAUAUCAUGGAUACAGAAAUUUAUGAAAAAAGAAAAGAUUUUUCACUCUUUUUACACUAUGGGUUAUAAUAAUUUAUCCUGAAGUUUAAAUUAUUACUAGGUUCAUGCACUAACCUCUAACAUGGCACUACAAUACGCUACCAAGCACUAAUGCUUACAAAACUAUACACAUCUCAAAAUGGAAGACAUUGGUGAUUUUGUUGUUCUUAAACAACUUGUAACAUUUGUCCACAAGUAUUAAAAUAUACAUAUAUAUAUUUCUAUUGCACAUA
RNA transcript from Rhinolophus ferrumequinum (greater horseshoe bat), 6227 nucleotides. It is a transcript of the gene named Opa interacting protein 5, with no coding region annotated. The transcript has 6 exons. NCBI's taxonomy places the organism in Eukaryota, Metazoa, Chordata, Mammalia, Chiroptera, Rhinolophidae. The record is from RefSeq and is a predicted model, not a curated record.